UGGGGAAUAUUGGACAAUGGGCGAAAGCCUGAUCCAGCCAUGCCGCGUGUGUGAAGUAGGUCUUCGGAUUGUAAAGCACUUUAAGUUGGGAGGAAGGGCAGUAAGCGAAUACCUUGCUGUUUUGACGUUACCGACAGAAUAAGCACCGGCUAACUCUGUGCCAGCAGCCGCGGUAAUACAGAGGGUGCAAGCGUUAAUCGGAAUUACUGGGCGUAAAGCGCGCGUAGGUGGUUCGUUAAGUUGAAUGUGAAAGCCCCGGGCUCAACCUGGGAACUGCAUCCAAAACUGGCGAGCUAGAGUAGGGCAGAGGGUGGUGGAAUUUCCUGUGUAGCGGUGAAAUGCGUAGAUAUAGGAAGGAACACCCGUGGCGAAGGCGACCACCUGGGCUCAUACUGACACUGAGGUGCGAAAGCGUGGGGAGCAAACAGG
Molecule: ribosomal RNA, 429 nt
Filed under: Pseudomonadota bacterium
Lineage: Bacteria; Pseudomonadati; Pseudomonadota
Description: Proteobacteria bacterium partial 16S ribosomal RNA
Rfam family: Bacterial small subunit ribosomal RNA
Source: RNAcentral